GUUUCUGUAGUGCAGUGGUUAUCACAUUCGCAUAACACGCGGAAGGUCGCAGAUUCGAACCCUGCCAGAGACA
Non-coding RNA from Stylophora pistillata, 73 nucleotides. Lineage: Eukaryota; Metazoa; Cnidaria; Anthozoa; Scleractinia; Pocilloporidae. The record is from the annotation of a RefSeq genome assembly.